UGUGUCCCAAUAUCUAAAAUAAAAAUAAAAUUGGAAUAAUACAGAGAAGAUUAACAUGGUUCCUGCAAAAGGAUGACAUGCAAAUUUGUGAAGGGUUCCAGGUGUGU
Sorex araneus (European shrew) is the source of this 107-nucleotide small nuclear RNA. The record is from Ensembl. NCBI's taxonomy places the organism in Eukaryota, Metazoa, Chordata, Mammalia, Eulipotyphla, Soricidae.